This 787-nucleotide long non-coding RNA is filed under the name Bos taurus (domestic cattle). Its description in RNAcentral is "long non-coding RNA NONBTAT018311". The record is from RNAcentral. Lineage: Eukaryota; Metazoa; Chordata; Mammalia; Artiodactyla; Bovidae.
GUCUAAUGUCUCCAUUUGGAGAAUUUUAAACUAUCAAAGCAUAUACUCUACACAACUAGAGCAGUUUUAGAUGACGAUUUUAUUCACUGAUCUAUAACUGAUGACAAAACAACCAAAUAUGUAAUAGUAUAGACAUGAAUAAAUUGAGACCAAAAUGACUUAGACAUUCCAGAUUGCCAUGAUAUAUUUUAAAUGGCACUAUAACUAUAAAUUCAGAGUGUUCAGAAGAACUUUCUAGGCCUCUCAUAAACCCACCAUUCCUAGGAAUGUUCUGAUCAAAUGUCUGAGAGAGGCAACCAAAUUCUGAACUCCCUUUUUGUGACCUUACAAAAGCUGCCAAGAAAGAGCCACAACUUUGCUUUAUAGUAGUGGUUUAUUUUCCAUUUCUUUUCCAUUUGAUUAGCACUGGAGUUGAGAUUGCAAAUUACAUGAGUUAUGGUUCAGGGAUAGAAAAUAUAGCAGAAAUGAUCAAAUGAAUUGGUGGGCACAAUUACUUUCUAAAAUUGAAAUAGGGGUUUAAUUUAUUGUUGACUAGAGACAGAAUUACCUAUUGUGUAUAGAAGUAUUGUACUUUAUUUUUUCCUUCAUGCAUUAUGUAUUUUUAAAAAGUCUCUUGUUCUAAUUGUAUAAAAACUGAUAUAGAGUUUUUUAAAAUGCUUAAAAUUACAAAGUAUUUUUACAUUAAUUUGCUGGUAAUUCCAAAUUGGUACCAAGCAAACUUUCUGGAACUCUGACUUACAUUUUUCAGUGACUACUUUUUAGAAUAUUUAUUAAAUAACUUUACUAC